CUCAUCUUGACUUGUGGGAAACUCCUGAUCAGUUUGGCAAAAGCCCUAAUUAUAUUUCUGAAUUAACAACUAACAAUUAACAAUACUUUAUUCCAUUCAUUUAUUGAAUUUGCAUAAUGCAAUACAGGUAUUAGGAUCAUGAAAGCCAGGGCUUAUUCUGGCAACAGUAGGACAAAGGGAGGAUGAGGAUGAAGAGCAAAGCACCAAAAGAAAGCAGAACGUGCAAAUUCUACACAGCUGGUGACCAAAACAGGUUUGAAGCCAGAGCUCUGGAGCUAUCGAAUGAACCAUACUGCCACUUCAUUUGCCACUUCAAUCGGACCAAGAGUGAGUGAAUUUGUAUGCAGUCUGCAAUGGAUUGGCAGCUCCUCUAGCAGUGGUUUCUGCCUUGUGCCCAGUCCUGCCAAGAUACACUCUUCUUCCCCUCAGCAACCUUGCAUAAUAUUAAAAAUGCCUAGAAAAUGGAUAGAUGUGAUAUGAAUGUUAACAAAAUACUGAUGUUAAUAUCAUUUACAUGCUUAAUUCCUCAGGCUGGGAUUGUCAUCUCAAGAUGGCUCCCCUUUGGAGAUGACUGCCCUGGGCCGACCUUUCCAGGUGGGGAUGCUCUAUGACUGUCGCUCUGACUCGCUCAUUCCAGGUGUCACUCUAUGGGACUUUGAAAACCUCAAGAAAGACCUCAACAUUAAACCCCAGAAGAACACAAAAUUCAAGAUCAUCACAUCAGAUUCUUUGGAUGAGAAAAC
This is a long non-coding RNA of Erpetoichthys calabaricus (reedfish), 743 nucleotides long. RefSeq lists it as uncharacterized. The transcript has 3 exons. NCBI's taxonomy places the organism in Eukaryota, Metazoa, Chordata, Cladistia, Polypteriformes, Polypteridae. The record is from RefSeq and is a predicted model, not a curated record.